Non-coding RNA from Phascolarctos cinereus (koala), 1829 nucleotides. NCBI's taxonomy places the organism in Eukaryota, Metazoa, Chordata, Mammalia, Diprotodontia, Phascolarctidae. The record is from RefSeq and is a predicted model, not a curated record.
GCACCCACAAAAGCCAAAGAGAAAAAAGCAGAGACCCUGGAGAGACAAUUUUCAGUCUUGUAUUUGGCCUGGGCCUGAGGAUGCUAUGGAAGAAAUACUAGAGAACAAGAUACUACAUAACUAGAAGAAAUUGGGAGGGAGACAGAAUGGAAGUGGAAAAAGAUAUUUUUUAAGUAAACUAUUGACUAUAGUUUGUUCUACUGUGGCGGCAAGCUGUGUUAUGUUAGUGCUCCUCCUUGCCUUGGAAGGGCUAUCCAGGACUGUGACGGGGAUCUAAGUUCUGCUGCUCCAGGAAUUGUAUUAUGGCAUUAUUUUAAAGGUGUUUCGAGGGGUUUUGUGGAGAGCUCAGGCGAGUUGCUGCCUUUUCUCUGCCAUCUUUCAAGCUCUCAUUCUAAAAGCCUCCCCAGCCUUUAGAAGCAAGCACCCUGAUCAGUCAGCCACCAUCAACAUCAAGUUAAGACCCUCCACCAGCAAAAAGAUUAUGACUCGCUGUAGUGGCAGAUGAUAGCAUUUCUUAGCCAUAAAGUAUUUUUAAUUAAGCCUAAUGGGGAGUGACUCUAGCAGAGAACUCCAGACCGGGUAGCAAAGGAAGAUAAUACCAUGUCAAACCAGAGAGAUUAUAUCCCUGUAGCAAUGUAUUAGCUUCUUCCCACAUGUAAUGGAAGACUUCUCCAGAAAGAGAACAGUACAAGUUUACUGGGUGAUGAAGGCUCCUUGUCCCUGCAUCAUUUUUCUCCACCCCACCUCCAGCCUCACCCGUGAAGGUUGGCAGCAUCUCCUGGUAGAGGCUUGGACUGAGAGCCAGAGGACUUGGGUCUGAAUCUUGGGUCAGCACUUGUUGCCUUUUUGACCUUGGGAAUCUGAAGAGAAUCUAGAGCAAGCUUGUUCUUUCUUGAAGCUGAAAUCCAGAAGACUAGAAUCUCUCUUCUCUUAAGUUCUCAUCAACUUCACUCCCCCCAAGCAGGCAUGGAAUAAUGGGAUGGGCACAGCAGGAGAUGGAAGACUUGAAGUCAAAGAGAAGGUUGCUCAUCUUUGCACUAGAGGUUCUCCAUAUCCCAGGGGUAGACCAAGGAUAAGAGUGUUCCAUGACACUAGUUGAAACCUCCCCAGCUGAAAAGUGAGAAGAGGGAUCAUCCUGGAGAUUCUCAUUCAGGGAAGAUACAGGGGCAUCAGAUGAGUUGAGAGUCUAUUAUCAGUGAUACAGGGAGAUAUGGACUAAUUGAUUACCAACUUCAGCUUUCUGGAAUCAGAAGACUGUUCAAGUAACGGGUCCUGCCUUUUUUGCCUUUGUGUUUUUGAGGAAGUCACUUAAACUCUCAAGGACUCAAUUUCUUCAUCUACACAAUGAUUGGAUGGGACUAAAUGACCACAAAGAUCUCUUCUAGUUCUAAAUCUAUCAUGCCAUAUAUCUAAAAAAUGGGACUUUGUUUCUCUUCUUCAGGUUAACUAAUGAAUCCCCAAUUUUAAAACAUAUAUUUAUUUUUCAUAGCUCCAUGAUGAUUAUCAAAUGACAUACAUUUUUACUAGUUUUAGUAUUCUUUAUACAAAUGCAGAUUUCAACCCCUGUGUGCUUCAUAGAUAAUUCUUCAUGAGCUGAGACCAAAAUCACUGUAAGGUGACUGUUCUGUUGGUGAUGAACCUAGCUGAACUUGUCUAGACCUUGUAAGACACCCAGUGUAUCAGUAGCCUCAUACUCAAAGCUUUUCUUGUUUGUAGAACUUGUUAGAGCUUGUAUUUGGCCAGCAUGGUUUCAAGAAUACAAUAUUCGUUCUGUAAUAUAAUGAGGGACCAGAAUGGGCCAUUUGGGAGGGGGUUGAGGAUAAUAUAAA